AGCAUAUCAAUAAGCGGAGGAAAAGAAACCAACAGGGAUUGCCCCAGUAACGGCGAGUGAAGCGGCAACAGCUCAAAUUUGAAAUCUGGCCCCAGGCCCGAGUUGUAAUUUGCAGAGGAUGCUUUUGGCGCGGUGCCUUCCGAGUUCCCUGGAACGGGACGCCAUAGAGGGUGAGAGCCCCGUACGGUUGGACACCAAGCCUUUGUAAAGCUCCUUCGACGAGUCGAGUAGUUUGGGAAUGCUGCUCUAAAUGGGAGGUACAUUUCUUCUAAAGCUAAAUAUUGGCCAGAGACCGAUAGCGCACAAGUAGAGUGAUCGAAAGAUGAAAAGCACUUUGAAAAGAGGGUUAAACAGCACGUGAAAUUGUUAAAAGGGAAGCGCUUGUGACCAGACUUGCGUCCGGUGAAUCACCCAGCUCUCGCGGCUGGGGCACUUCGCCGGCACAGGCCAGCAUCAGCUUGCCGUCGGGGACAAAAGCUUCAGGAACGUGGCUCCUCUCGGGGAGUGUUAUAGCCUGUUGCACAAUACCCUUCGGCGGGCUGAGGUACGCGCUCCGCAAGGAUGCUGGCGUAAUGGUCAUCAGCGACCCGUCUUGAAACACGGACCAAGGAGUCAACCUUAUGUGCGAGUGUUUGGGUGUUAAACCCCUACGCGUAAUGAAAGUGAACGCAGGUGAGAGCUUCGGCGCAUCAUCGACCGAUCCUGAUGUUCUCGGAUGGAUUUGAGUAAGAGCAUAUAGGGUUGGACCCGAAAGAAGGUGAACUAUGCGUGUGUAGGGUGAAGCCAGAGGAAACUCUGGUGGAGGCUCGCAGCGGUUCUGACGUGCAAAUCGAUCGUCAAACAUGCGCAUGGGGGCGAAAGACUAAUCGAACCUUCUAGUAGCUGGUUUCCGCCGA
This 896-nucleotide ribosomal RNA is filed under the name Colletotrichum salicis. RNAcentral's name for it is "LSU rRNA". It matches the Rfam family "Eukaryotic large subunit ribosomal RNA", at positions 37 to 964 of the family's 3401-position model. The record is from RNAcentral. Lineage: Eukaryota; Fungi; Ascomycota; Sordariomycetes; Glomerellales; Glomerellaceae.